Molecule: non-coding RNA, 232 nt
Organism: Vicugna pacos (alpaca)
Lineage: Eukaryota; Metazoa; Chordata; Mammalia; Artiodactyla; Camelidae
Source: RefSeq, a predicted model, not a curated record
AGUUGAAUCCUGUUUUAAGUCCUCUCUUCAUCUAUAUUAAUAGAAGCGAUCAUCUCCUGUGGGUGUGUGAACUUUCCAGCAGACUGUGAGAGCGUGGUGUUGCAGUAUCUUUCAGAGACAGGAACGGGGACGGGGACCGGGACGGGCGGGCGGGCUGCUACACUGGGAAGCCGGGAGCAGGGAGGACUUGGCAUCUCCCGCUGCAUUUGAAUUGUGCACCAGUUCUGCCCAU